CAAAGAGUAGUUUAAUUUAGAAUACUAGCUUUGGGAGUUAGUGGUCGGGGUUAAAAUCCCCUCUCUUUGA
This 70-nucleotide transfer RNA is filed under the name Lactoria cornuta (longhorn cowfish). RNAcentral describes it as "tRNA-Pro". It matches the Rfam family "tRNA". Rfam says of the family: Transfer RNA (tRNA) molecules are approximately 80 nucleotides in length. Their secondary structure includes four short double-helical elements and three loops (D, anti-codon, and T loops). Further hydrogen bonds mediate the characteristic L-shaped molecular structure. tRNAs have two regions of fundamental functional importance: the anti-codon, which is responsible for specific mRNA codon recognition, and the 3' end, to which the tRNAs corresponding amino acid is attached (by aminoacyl-tRNA synthetases). tRNAs cope with the degeneracy of the genetic code in two manners: having more than one tRNA (with a specific anti-codon) for a particular amino acid; and 'wobble' base-pairing, i.e. permitting non-standard base-pairing at the 3rd anti-codon position. Lineage: Eukaryota; Metazoa; Chordata; Actinopteri; Tetraodontiformes; Ostraciidae. The record is from RNAcentral.